CAAUGAAUAAUAUUCAACAAUGGAAAACAUCCUGCAGCGGCGACGCGUGGGGGAUGAAGAUUUUUUUAUUAUAAACCCCCCUCAUGAGGAAAAAUAAUAAAGUGGGUCACCUAGUAGGUACUUCAAGAAGAAGACGCCACUAACUUCUUCCAGCAGCAGCGGUAAUAAUGAGAAGCAAGCAUUGUUCUUAUUUAUUUGGGCGUAAAGAAGAUGUAGGUAGGAUGGUUAAGAAAGAGGUGAAAGAAAUCUGAGCUUAUUAACCGAGAAAGGUCCAGAGGAACGCAUCUUGAGAGAGUCAGAGGAGGAGCGAAUUAUUUGGUGUAGAGGUGAAAAUAGUAGAGAUCAUGAGGAAGAAGGGUGGUGAAGAAGGCGGCGCUGGAGUUUUUUCACGACGAGGCGGGAAAAAAUGGGGAGCAACCAGCAUUAGAAGACACCGUGGUACUCCCCGCCAUCGAUGAGCGGUCGUUGUUGUGGGCGGUUCCCCUUGGGUGUCGCAGCUAACGCUUUAAGUGCUCCGCCUGGGGAGUACGGUCGCAAGGUG
This 541-nucleotide ribosomal RNA is filed under the name uncultured bacterium. RNAcentral describes it as "partial 16S ribosomal RNA". It matches the Rfam family "Bacterial small subunit ribosomal RNA", at positions 352 to 895 of the family's 1533-position model. The record is from RNAcentral.